UUAGUUUUAAUCAAUGUGAGUCUACACUUUAGAAAUGAAACCUACAUAAAGUGGUAGGACAUGCACUGAUUUCAUUCAG
This 79-nucleotide microRNA precursor is filed under the name Medicago truncatula (barrel medic). RNAcentral's name for it is "MIR5269 microRNA precursor family". It matches the Rfam family "MIR5269 microRNA precursor family". The record is from Rfam by way of RNAcentral. Lineage: Eukaryota; Viridiplantae; Streptophyta; Magnoliopsida; Fabales; Fabaceae.